ACGGAAGGCAGCAGUGAGGAAUAUUGGUCAAUGGGCGGAAGCCUGAACCAGCCAAGUCGCGUGAAGGAUGAAGGUUCUAUGUAUUGUAAACUUCUUUUGUUCGAGGGUAAAAUGCCUCACGCGUAGGUUAUUGCAAGUAUCGAACGAAUAAGCAUCGGCUAACUCCGUGCCAGCAGCCGCGGUAAUACGGAGGAUGCGAGCGUUAUCCGGAUUUAUUGGGUUUAAAGGGUGCGUAGGCGGGAUGUUAAGUCAGCGGUCAAAUGGUGUAGCUCAACGAUACCGAGCCGUUGAAACUGGCGUGCUUGAGUGUGAACGAGGUAGGCGGAAUGUGACGUGUAGCGGUGAAAUGCUUAGAUAUGUCACAGAACACCGAUUGCGAAGGCAGCUUACUAGGAUACAACUGACGCUGAGGCACGAAAGCGUGGGUAUCAAACAGGAUUAGAUACCCUGGUA
This 453-nucleotide ribosomal RNA is filed under the name uncultured Porphyromonadaceae bacterium. Its description in RNAcentral is "partial 16S ribosomal RNA". It matches the Rfam family "Bacterial small subunit ribosomal RNA", at positions 341 to 792 of the family's 1533-position model. The record is from RNAcentral. Lineage: Bacteria; Pseudomonadati; Bacteroidota; Bacteroidia; Bacteroidales; Porphyromonadaceae.